This 504-nucleotide long non-coding RNA is filed under the name Vigna radiata. Its description in RNAcentral is "long non-coding RNA (VRAD_LNC005432)". Lineage: Eukaryota; Viridiplantae; Streptophyta; Magnoliopsida; Fabales; Fabaceae. The record is from RNAcentral.
UUUAUACUGAUUCACUUUUACCUAAUCUCUUAAGCAACUUGUUUAAGAAGUUUAACUAAUCAACAACUUUGAUCAGUGUUAAAAAUAAAGCCUUAUAUCUCAAUCCAAGGAGGAGUGAAUUGGAUUUAGAAAAAUUUUCACAAAUUCUUGAAAAUCUUGGUUCUUAAAAUCACUACACAAUGGUUUAUCAACAAUCAAGAUGAAAAGCAAAGAGCAAGAACAAAACAUACACAAAAUUUUAUAUUGGUUCAAUUCUUGAAUUGAGUUUACAUCCAGUCUUCCUUCAACAACCUUAGUUGAAGGGAAGUCAGAGUCAAGAAUACAAAAGAAUUCUCUUAAUUUAUAUCCUCACAUACUCUUCAAUACAAAAAAAAAAAAAAAAACCAAGAGAGGUUUUCACUCACACUCUCUUAAAUCUUGCCUACCCAGCUAAGGUAACAAAUGAAAACAAUUAUCUAAUGAAACCUGAUAGCACCUAUAAUUGUGUAGAUCUUACAACUUUCC